Molecule: ribosomal RNA, 801 nt
Filed under: uncultured bacterium
Lineage: Bacteria
Description: SSU rRNA
Rfam family: Bacterial small subunit ribosomal RNA
Source: RNAcentral
GGGGCUUCGGCCCUGAGUAAAGUGGCAAACGGGUGAGUAACGCGUGGGUGAUCUGCCUCUGAGUGGGGGAUAACCUUCCGAAAGGAGGGCUAAUACCGCAUGACAUCCUGUUCUUGGAUGAACGGUGAUCGAAGCUGGGGACCGCAAGGCCUGGCGCUUGGAGAGGAGCCCGCGUCCGAUUAGCUAGUUGGUGGGGUAAAAGCCUACCAAGGCGACGAUCGGUAGCCGGCCUGAGAGGGCGGACGGCCACACUGGGACUGAGACACGGCCCAGACUCCUACGGGAGGCAGCAGUGGGGAAUUGUUCGCAAUGGGCGCAAGCCUGACGACGCAACGCCGCGUGGGGGAUGAAGGUCUUCGGAUUGUAAACCCCUGUUGGGUGGGACGAACACUCCUGUGGUGAAUAUCCACGAGAGCUGACGGUACCACCUGAGGAAGCCCCGGCUAACUCUGUGCCAGCAGCCGCGGUAAUACAGAGGGGGCAAGCGUUGUUCGGAAUUACUGGGCGUAAAGGGCGCGUAGGCGGCCUGUUAAGUCGGACGUGAAAUCCCUCGGCUCAACCGGGGAACUGCGUCUGAUACUGGCGGGCUUGAAUUCGGGAGAGGGAUGUGGAAUUCCAGGUGUAGCGGUGAAAUGCGUAGAUAUCUGGAGGAACACCGGUGGCGAAGGCGGCAUCCUGGACCGACAUUGACGCUGAGGCGCGAAAGCCAGGGGAGCAAACGGGAUUAGAUGCCCCGGUAGUCCUGGCCCUAAACGAUGAGUGCUUGGUGUGGCGGGUAUCGAUCCCUGCCGUGCCGAAGCU